RNAcentral lists this ribosomal RNA (497 nucleotides) under uncultured bacterium. RNAcentral's name for it is "partial 16S ribosomal RNA". It matches the Rfam family "Bacterial small subunit ribosomal RNA", at positions 28 to 507 of the family's 1533-position model. The record is from RNAcentral.
GAUGAACGCUGGCGGCGUGCCUAAUACAUGCAAGUCGAGCGAACAGACGAGGAGCUUGCUCCUCUGACGUUAGCGGCGGACGGGUGAGUAACACGUGGAUAACCUACCUAUAAGACUGGGAUAACUUCGGGAAACCGGAGCUAAUACCGGAUAAUAUAUUGAACCGCAUGGUUCAAUAGUGAAAGACGGUUUUGCUGACACUUAUAGAUGGAUCCGCGCCGCAUUAGCUAGUUGGUAAGGUAACGGCUUACCAAGGCGACGAUGCGUAGCCGACCUGAAAGGGUGGUCGGCCACACGGGAACUGAGACACGGUCCAGACUCCGACGGGAGGCAGCAGUAGGGAAUCUUCCGCAAUGGGCGAAAGCCUGACGGAGCAACACCGCGUGAGGGAUGAAGGUCUUCGGAUCGUAAAACUCUGUUAUUAGGGAAGAACAAAUGUGUAAGUAACUAUGCACAUCUUGACGGUACCUAAUCAGAAAGCCACGGCUAACUACGUG